Oenanthe melanoleuca is the source of this 2884-nucleotide long non-coding RNA. RefSeq lists it as uncharacterized. The record is from RefSeq and is a predicted model, not a curated record. The transcript has 3 exons. NCBI's taxonomy places the organism in Eukaryota, Metazoa, Chordata, Aves, Passeriformes, Muscicapidae.
GCUGCGCGGCCGCGGAGGGAGAGAGGAGACAGAGGGUGAGAGAGGGAAGCGGGAGCGGGCCGGGCUGGGCGCCCCGAGCCGCCCCGGCGGGCGCUGCAGAGCGCGUCCAGCCCGCCGUGCCCCGACGGGGCCGCAGCGGAGCGGAGCGCGAGUUACCGAGGCAGCAGCAGAGGUACCAGUGCCCCUCAAGAACACUUUGCCCUCACUAUUUGCAGUGCCAGAAUGAAAACACACCAUGGUCUGUCUGGCCCAGCAAACCCUGCCGAGCCUUGUAGAAGUCCUAUCCUCCCCUAUAGGCUCCUUUGUGCCUUGCCACAGAGUGAAUGAAAACGUGCUUUGUUCCAGCCUGGGGUGACCCUGCCGUGCAACAUCAGGGAUUGAGCUGGAGCUUCAGCCACAGACUGGGGUGGCCACCAUCCCCUUGUUACAGCAGAUGUAACCAAAACCACCACAUUUAACAGGGAACUUGUGUCCCUCCCUUUCUGCCGUGCUCAUGACAAAUAGUGAGUACGAGUAUUUUAAUUUGAUUCUUCAAAUGAUAAAAAUUCGGUUUUGUGUUAUGCCCUUGUGGUUGGUGAACAACCUUUACAGCCCUGGAGUAUCUGUGUUUGUGUGUGGUUGGACGUCUUCACAAAAAGCAAAAUUUCAGAAUUUGACCCCAGUGGGACCCACUUGAUCCCCCAUUUUCUUAAAACACUGCAGUGGUCAAAUGCCUGGUAGACAGAGCUGAUGAUAUGAUUUUGAUUAAAUAUAUCUUUGACUAUAUGUCAGUUUGGUUGUGUUGUUUGCAUUUUUUAUUAAAGCCUUGGAAGUCAAAAUGCUCUACAGCAAGAAACUUAUUUCAAUUAUUUUUCAAGAAACAGUUUUCUGAAGCCAUUUCUGCCCAUAAGGAAGAGGUCCAGGGGAAACUACAAAUAAGUACUUUUUAUCUGGAGGCAGCAUUUUCCCCACAAAUUAACUUUGAAAAAAGUUAAGAGUUUGAAAGUUUUUGCGUCACUUCCAAUGGGAAAUGCUGCACAGUUUUAAACCUCAGAAGCUGUCAUAGGAUGGAUUUGGAGUUCUGUGGCCACUGGUCCCAUCGGAUCUGCUUCCUUUGUGUGUCUGAGCAUGCCUGGAGGCAGGCAGGGGAGGUUAGACUCUGUGCUGACUUUCUUGUUCCUGCUUCCGCUUUCAGCGAUUUCUGUUUUCCCCCCAUGGAUACAUAUUCUCUCCAGGCCUGUUUAACUGCCUCCUGUUUAUAGAUUUCUCAUCCAUGCAGCAAUUCUCACAGUCAACAGUGGAUUUUAGGAGAAAGCUCUCUUUCAACUUUUUGCUUCAGAUUUCCAGAAUUCAAAUUUUUAAAACCAUCAAUGAAAUAAUUUUGGUUUAUAUGCAAUUGGGAAUUUCUGUCUAAGAGCUUCAGUCUACCUCUUCCAGGUGCAGUCCUGCAGAUGCACUGAAACCUGCAGAAAAGCCUUCAUUACCUGGAGACCCACAUGUAAGCAGCUUGGUGUGUGCUCGGAGUAAAACAAAGAUGUUUGAUUUCAUUAUGCCAAAGUCAGUCUAAAUACAAUCAUCUGCUUAUAGCCUAGUAACUUAGAAAGAAGCCUCACACCUCACAGAUGAUUUUUCUUAAGUGCUAAAAUUCAGAAAAUGCUAACCCACAAAUUCCACGCAUUCCUACGUUCAGGUGGUUUUGUUAGAUUAUAUCAAGAUUAUAAUUAGAUUCCAUUAUUUUCACAAUAGAAUGUGUGGCAGUGUAAUGCACGUUGCACAUUGCCUGGAGCACAGCUGGUUUGAGUUAGAGGAGUAUCUCUGCAGUCCCAUCCGCCAGCAGCUCCCACCCAAGCCCCCAGCGCAUACCAGCGCUGCUUUAGCUCUUGUAAACACAGGAGCUGAUAACUGCAGCGUUUAUCUGCGUUGGAUCGAUAAGGGUUGUUUCACGGGUGCUGCUGGCGUGGGGAAAUGUUAAGAGCCCUGUGUUCCCGCAGAGCAUUCCUCGUUUUACAGACGUGGUCUGGGCUGCAUCCGAGCUCCGAAGCAGCACCGUGCUAAAUGAAAUCCUCGCUGUGGGACAGCCCAGCCAGGAAUGACUAGUUUUGACCCAGGAAAACCCAUCAUUAAUCUGCUCUGCGUCCUGCAAGAGUAUGUAUACCAAGGGUGGGACUUUGAAACUGAGGCGUAGCUCACUUCAGUCUUGUUAAAACUCUGGCAUAUCUAUAACAUUUGCUUAACCACAGAUUCCUUCUUUAUUUCUAUUUAAAAAAAAGGUAUUACAGCCUUAAAUUUUGGCCACCUUAUGUGUUCUUAAUGGCUAAGAGAAACUACUGAGUGAACCCUGAUUUCUGUGAGGUGCUGCAUUGUGGGAGAAGAGCUGGAGAAACUGGCUUUCAACAUUUCUGACCCUUUAGACUCAUUGCUUAAACCUAAGAGCUGGAGUUAUUCUCUAGUUUUUUGUUACAUUAAUGAAAAAUGCAUGAAACCCCUUAGAAGCAUAAGAAAAACAGGCACUGCAGGAGCUCCAUUGCCAGAGAAAAGAUUUUAAAGUUGCUUUCGGAGUUAAGCAUCUGAGCACUGCCAUCCAGUGGGCACUGGGAACCGGCUCUGCCGCCCCCCGCUACUGGCCCGGGCUGCACGGAGCUUUUCCAGCGAGCACAGCGGGACCUUCACACUGUCAGGGGCUCCAGGUACAGGGUCCCUGCUCUGCCUCGGUGAGGAGAUGGGGCUGGAGCAGUGGCAGUGCCUGGGGAUGCUGCAGGAGCCCGCAGCAUUUCAUCUGCAUCGCCCCAUCCGAGUCUGGGCAGCCCCGAGCAGGGUCAGGGCACAACCAGGCUUUUUAGGGUUUGGCAGAAGACACAGGGCAUUGAGAGUCUGUUUUUGAGACAGCUACUAGCAGCUCUCUGAG